Molecule: long non-coding RNA, 1498 nt
Organism: Sus scrofa (pig)
Lineage: Eukaryota; Metazoa; Chordata; Mammalia; Artiodactyla; Suidae
Source: RefSeq, a predicted model, not a curated record
AGCGUGUGGUUUCCCGCAGGGCUCCGAAUGGGCGGGGCCCUACACCAGCGAUAGCCUUAAAGGGAGGAGAACUCUUUAGGGACUGCGCUGUGAGGAUUAAUUUGGGACGUGAUGGUUAAAGGUUCUGGCUUGAGACUCUUUGUUUGCGUUGUUAAUUUUGAAGGAGGUAGAAAUUGAAGCUGGUCCAGUUAACGCUGGGUUCUCAGUCUGGAGAGCAGGAAAAAAAAAUCGAGACGAACCGAAGAAGAUGAGUCUUUCCCCGAAGGAGAUAGAAGAUGGGGAAGAUGAAAUGUUAGAAGAUCGAAAUGCCAAAACCCUUUGAUCAAGGACAGGCCUGACACAGUCACUCAGCAUGAAUUAAUAGACGUGUUUGAGGAUGUUUCGCAGAUCAGAUUGCUGCAGGAUCGCCUGUGUCAACGGCAUGUCACCAGCCGAUGCCGAGAGAGCCUUGGAAGAGAAGCCAGGAACGGGGAUCGGUGGGCUCGCCAUGGUUCUGGACCCCGUGAAUGCGAAAAGCCAAAACCGGGAAGAGGGCAGCGCCUGGAGAAGUCAGGAGGUUACAGCCCGGGAGGUGGAGCCCAGGCCGGGCCGGGGUUGUGGGCGGGGUUCCCGGGGAGGGGGCCCUGUGAGGUCAGGGGCACUUGGCACUUAUAAAUACAGUUCCUCCCUCACCCUCACAGUUCUGCCAAGCUAAUGAGCGUUGUCCUGGUUGACCGUAACCUUGAUGUCUGCGAAAGGCGUGGCACCUUGGGAGACAGCCUGUAGAUCCCCCACCCCCACCCCCACCCCCUGCCCCGCUGGGGUAGCCUCUAGGAUUCUGUUUGAACAAGCCCUUUAACCUGUGGUUUCAGAAUUAGAUAUUUAAUGCCCUUCAAACAUUUAAUUCUCUUCACGUAGAUGGGUUUUUUUUUUUUCCUCUCACAGGGCGUGCGGAAGUUCUAGGCCGGGGAUCAAACCCAUGCCACAGCAGUAACCCAAGCCACAGCAGUGACAAUGCUGAGUCCUUAACUGCUGGGCCACCCGGGAACUCCUCAAGUAGAAUUUUUAAAAAGCUUAACACCAGAGAACCCCAAACCAGUGCCCUUAAUCUGCAUAACUUGAUUGGUAGACAUGGUGGCGUAUACAGUAUUUAGAGGAAAAAAAAAACCCAGUAGAAUUUACUAUGAGUAUUUUUUACAGUCAAAGGGUUUUACAUAAAAAUCUGGAUUUCUAGCUUUUGCUACAUCCAAAAAUGUGGUGGCCUUAGGGCCACAUCCCUACGUGUCUGCAGCCAUCUGGAGAGAGGCAGCUGCUUCCUCUUGGCUGUGGCAUUUGCUCUGCUGGCUACAAGCCCCACCAUUCUUCUGGAAGUCUUCCCCACCUCUGAAGGAGCGAGCAUCAUGCUGACACUUUGAAAAAAAUAGUUCAUUCUUUUUUCUUACAAAGCAUUACUUUUUUCUUAUUGGUAAAGAUGACGUUUUAUUUAUUUUUUUGUCUUUUGUCUUUUUAGGGCUGCACC